ACUCAUACCUUGCAGGGGAAAUACCAUGGUGAUGAAAGUGGUUUUUCCAGGGUAAGGCUCAUCCAUUGCACUUUGUGUGUGGUGAUCCCUAUGAUUUUCCCAAAUGUGAUGAACUCAACUGCAUAAUUUGUGUUAAUGUGGGAUUGCAUUUGUGAUUUCCCUGG
Small nuclear RNA from Pogona vitticeps (central bearded dragon), 164 nucleotides. Its record names the gene U1. It matches the Rfam family "U1 spliceosomal RNA". From Rfam's summary of the family: U1 is a small nuclear RNA (snRNA) component of the spliceosome (involved in pre-mRNA splicing). Its 5' end forms complementary base pairs with the 5' splice junction, thus defining the 5' donor site of an intron. The record is from Ensembl. Lineage: Eukaryota; Metazoa; Chordata; Lepidosauria; Squamata; Agamidae.